RNAcentral lists this microRNA precursor (70 nucleotides) under Mus pahari (shrew mouse). Its description in RNAcentral is "miRNA (MGP_PahariEiJ_G0007605.1)". Lineage: Eukaryota; Metazoa; Chordata; Mammalia; Rodentia; Muridae. The record is from RNAcentral.
UUUGAGCUGCCAUGUCGGUGCUGGAAAUUGAACUGAGGUCCUCUGGAAGAGGAGCCAGUGCUCUUAACUG